UUUGCGGCGGCCAUGGCCCAGGAGAGACGCCCGGUCCCAUUCCGAACCCGGAAGCUAAGGCCUGGCACGGCGAUGGUACUGCACCCGACAGGGUGUGGGAGAGUAGCACGCCGCCGCAUC
RNAcentral lists this ribosomal RNA (120 nucleotides) under Bifidobacterium longum subsp. infantis ATCC 15697 = JCM 1222 = DSM 20088. Lineage: Bacteria; Bacillati; Actinomycetota; Actinomycetes; Bifidobacteriales; Bifidobacteriaceae. The record is from RNAcentral.